AACCGGAUUAGAUACCCUGGUAGUCCACGCUGUAAACGAUGUCGAUUUGGAGGUUGUGCCCUUGAGGCGUGGCUUCCGGAGCUAACGCGUUAAAUCGACCGCCUGGGGAGUACGGCCGCAAGGUUAAAACUCAAAUGAAUUGACGGGGGCCCGCACAAGCGGUGGAGCAUGUGGUUUAAUUCGAUGCAACGCGAAGAACCUUACCUACUCUUGACAUCCAGAGAACUUUCCAGAGAUGGAUUGGUGCCUUCGGGAACUCUGAGACAGGUGCUGCAUGGCUGUCGUCAGCUCGUGUUGUGAAAUGUUGGGUUAAGUCCCGCAACGAGCGCAACCCUUAUCCUUUGUUGCCAGCGGUUCGGCCGGGAACUCAAAGGAGACUGCCAGUGAUAAACUGGAGGAAGGUGGGGAUGACGUCAAGUCAUCAUGGCCCUUACGAGUAGGGCUACACACGUGCUACAAUGGCGUAUACAAAGAGAAGCGACCUCGCGAGAGCAAGCGGACCUCAUAAAGUACGUCGUAGUCCGGAUUGGAGUCUGCAACUCGACUCCAUGA
RNAcentral lists this ribosomal RNA (552 nucleotides) under uncultured Serratia sp. RNAcentral's name for it is "bacterial SSU rRNA". It matches the Rfam family "Bacterial small subunit ribosomal RNA", at positions 771 to 1323 of the family's 1533-position model. Lineage: Bacteria; Pseudomonadati; Pseudomonadota; Gammaproteobacteria; Enterobacterales; Yersiniaceae. The record is from RNAcentral.